RNAcentral lists this ribosomal RNA (496 nucleotides) under uncultured bacterium. RNAcentral describes it as "partial 16S ribosomal RNA". It matches the Rfam family "Bacterial small subunit ribosomal RNA", at positions 28 to 507 of the family's 1533-position model. The record is from RNAcentral.
GACGAACGCUGGCGGCGUGCCUAAUACAUGCAAGUUGAGCGCUGAAGGUUGGUACUUGUACCAACUGGAUGAGCAGCGAACGGGUGAGUAACGCGUGGGGAAUCUGCCUUUGAGCGGGGGACAACAUUUGGAAACGAAUGCUAAUACCGCAUAAAAACUUUAAACACAAGUUUUAAGUUUGAAAGAUGCAAUUGCAUCACUCAAAGAUGAUCCCGCGUUGUAUUAGCUAGUUGGUGAGGUAAAGGCUCACCAAGGCGAUGAUACAUAGCCGACCUGAGAGGGUGAUCGGCCACAUUGGGACUGGGACACGGCCCAAACUCCUACGGAGGCAGCAGUAGGGAAUCUUCGGCAAUGGACGAAAGUCUGACCGAGCAACGCCGCGUGAGUGAAGAAGGGUUUCGGAUCGUAAAACUCUGUUGGUAGAGAAGAACGUUGGUGAGAGUGGAAAGCUCAUCAAGUGACGGUAACUACCCAGAAAGGGACGGCUAACUACGUG